UCAGCCUUAUGCUUCUGCCUGAAAUGGUUCCAGAUGUGGGGCCUGCAGAAAAGGCAGGGUGAAGGUUCAGCACAAAGCUAGGUUUCCUCCUGGAGGUUGCCCUAGGGGAGGCCCAAGCCCCUCCCACCCCUGGCACCUGGUCAGUAAAUGAGAGCAGAACAAGGCCACUGAUGGGAUGAUGGUUCAGGGAAAGAGUCUGUCAAGAGCCUGGGGAAGAGGAACCCUUGUGGGGCCUGGGUGUCUGGGGCAAGAGGGAGGCUGAAGCCCAUUCUGGGUUUGCAUUCCUCACUCUAUCCAGCCUUGCUGGAUCUGAGGCCUGGGGCAACUUCCAGGGUGGGGUUCUCCAGGCUGAGCAAGGAGGCCCAGGACUGAGCGAUUUAGAUCCCUCCUACUACUCCUCAAAGAAAUGCCAUUAUAGAUGGGGGAAACUAAGCCCAGGGCUCCAAAUUGGCUCCUGACUAAUGGUUCCUGUGCAGGCCUCUCCCAUGGGGAUCCUUAUUCAGGGCCCCAAAUGUUCCUGGGGGCAUGGCAGGGUCUGGAUAUCACUGUGGCUUGGGUAGAGGAGGGACAGGUGAGACAUGAUGCUGGUCUAGAGAUACAUCCAGGUGGUUCAGCUCUGGGUAUGAAUGAAGAUGAGGCAGAGCCCAGCCUAGCUCUGGGAAAAUCUCAGCUCCUACUCCACAGUCUUCUGGGACUCAAGACAGCACCUCCUGCCUGAGAGGGGGGCGGAGGUGGCCAGUAUCCUUGGGAUGGUUCACAAACUCCUCUCCCCACCCCAAGCUCCCUUCUGCCAGCUACUCUUGGUUCCCUACUUAGAUAUUUCUUUGGCAUCUACUGUGUGCUGGCCCUAGGGGCACAGCAGCCUGGGGUUCAGAGAGUGCCCAGGCAGAUGGGGAGGCA
Molecule: long non-coding RNA, 900 nt
Filed under: Homo sapiens (human)
Lineage: Eukaryota; Metazoa; Chordata; Mammalia; Primates; Hominidae
Description: HSALNT0095195
Source: RNAcentral